RNAcentral lists this unclassified non-coding RNA (1138 nucleotides) under Hevea brasiliensis (rubber tree). The record is from RNAcentral. Lineage: Eukaryota; Viridiplantae; Streptophyta; Magnoliopsida; Malpighiales; Euphorbiaceae.
UUUACACAAUCUGAAUGAAGAUGAGCUUGCUGGGUUUGAAGAAGCAUGGAAUGGUAAUGUCAAAGGAAAGUGGCUUGGCUCAAGUAAUCAAUUUGAUUUCAAUGGUAAUAGAUGUAACCUUGGUUGCCUCCUUAUGAGAUGAGGUCCUUGGUUUAGAUUUUGUUCUCCUUUUUUGGCUCUUGCUUGUUUUUAUGUUCAUUUUACUUGAGGAUUACUAGAUAUUGUUGUGUCAAACACGCUAGUCUGAGAGCUGUAUGAAUCAUCUUUCCCUUGGGUUCAGUUUGCCCUUUAGAAAGAACGAGGGUUUGAGUACAGAAUCAUGGACACACAGCAUUAGCCUUUUUAUUAUUGUAAAUUUAGUUGGUUGAUUAUUGCAAACUGCUUUUCCUUGCACCACCAUUGGAAAUUAGUGGCAUACCUUUGGUAAGCAUAUGACAAUAUGGGUCUGGACAGCACUGAUGAGAGAAAUUAUCGACUGACCUAAUAGAUUCAUUUCUGGGCAUCUAUGUGAUCUCGAAUUUUUUUUUGAAUUUUUAUUAUUCUUAUUAUUUUUUGUUUCUGCUUGUAAUGACACAAUUGAGGAUGGCAAUGUAGGUUCUAGCACCAGUGAACAGAAGGAGAUGGCAACUUGGGGCGGUUGGGCACUUCCAACAGUACAAAAUCCCCGAAAUACUGGAGCAACUUCUGCAGGAAAAGGCAAAAAAGUUAUUAGGAUCAACAUUGAGUAAUCGAUUUGCAUAUUGCCUAUAAUAGAAUUAAGCCUGGAACGGGGCAUUUGUUUGGCGUGAGGCGCCAGCGUGGUGUAAGGCCAUGGUGAAUACCGAAUUGAUGUGUAUCCUUGUACAUAGCAGCCAGACAUUCGAUUACAUGGCUUUAAAAAUAUAUUCUAUGUUUGAAUUUCUCAUGUCUUCGUUACCAAGUCGGAUCAGGAUGCUUAUUUUUGCAAUUUGCAAAAGACAAAUUAGAGAUAGUACAAUUGAGAAUUUAUGGACUGCUAGUGUUAAGCCUAAUGCUUUCUUUUGUAUGUGGUUUAUCAUUUCCGGUACAAUUACCAGAGAAUUUACUGUAUAACAUAUACACCGCUGAGUUAUGCUUUGUGUAAGGGGAUAGUUUCAAUUGGUGAUUGAUUUUGUGAGUC